GGGAGGAAGGCUUGCGGGCGUGCGGACUCGGUUUCGGGCCGAGCGCUUUGAAGAAUUUUGCAGAACCCUGCUACCUACAGACUCUGCCAUGGACAUCAUGUAAAGAAACCCCGGAUGUAGUAACGGACAAAACAUGUGUCAGUUUGUGUUGUGGCAUUCAGAUCCGAGCACACUGGGAGAGAUUGUGGAAGACCUGAGGAACUUACAGAGUUUGUUUGUUUUCUGUCCACUGUGAGUCCAGAAGUGAUUCUGAAUGGAGAAGACGUAGGACCGGUCAGUGGUAGGAUGGACUGUGCUUGGAAGACAGGUACCUGGAGCUCUCAGUUUGGACUAGGCUGGCUGGCAGUAAGCCCCCAGGAUUCUCCUGUUCUCACACUAGAGGCAUCAAGUUUGUGAAGACCAUGGCCCAUCCUUAUGCAUUCAAGAGUUGAGUGUGGAUGACUUGGAGCUGAAAAACCCCUUCAGAAGCUUCAUGUGUCACGUGCAUUGAAGCUCUGCAUUAAACCCGCUCGCACAAGUAAAUGCUCAAAGGGACUGAAGGCCAUUAGUACAGUUUUUAUGUCUCUUUCUUCUACUUCAGUUUCUUUAGCCAUCAGGGUCCUUAAUGUUUCUUAUCUUACUAUAGUAAAGACUCAGAGAAAGGCUCCUUUCCAUGAAGUAGUAUGUUCUGUGGCCACACGCCUUUAUUAGUGGAGAUGGGCAUUUUCACUUGAGUCUUUUGUUACAGCCUAUUAAAAAUUUGAUUCAGUAAUGUGAAAGUGAGGAUUAAAUAUCAAAAAAUUACAAUAUUAGAGAUGUAUGUGCUUAACAUGUGCAAAGCCCCAGGUCCAGUCUGCUGCAUUGUGUGGGGUGGUUAGGGGCUGUGUGGAUGUGCAAAGCCCCAGGUCCAGUCUGCUGCACCUUUCUGCGCAUUUUAAUCCCUGGAGAUUCAUUUCAUUCCCUUCAUACCUGUGAGGAAGGAGUUAGUACUAAUAUCAAUACAUCUGGUUUAAUUGAAAUAUUUUGUGUUUCAUAAAAUAUAGAAAGCCAGGUAGCCUGUGCUACUGUCUAUCCUGAUACUUAGAACACCUAAGAAUUGUUCAACUUCAACUUAUUAGGAAAAUUAUGCUAAGUGUUUUACUUUAUUUUGGUGUGUGUGUGUGUGUGUAUGAAUAUAUGUAUAAGAGAGGGUGUGUGUGAGUGAGCCUGUGUGUGAGUGAGCAUGCUUGAGUAUGUGUGUGAGUGUGUAUGUGUGUGAGCAUGUGUGAGCCUGUUAGCAGUCAAGUGCCUGUGUGAAUGAAUGAAUGUGUAUGAGUGUGUUUAUGUGAGCCUGUCCAAGUGCAAGUGUGUGUGUGUGUGUGUGUGUGUUAUCACUCCUCAUGUGCCAUCUGUCUUUUUUGUUUGUUUGACAUAGAGUCUCUCAUUGGUCUGGAACUGGCCAGUGGCCAAGUAGACCAGGCUGGCUGGCCAGUGAGCCUCAGGGAUCUGCCUGGUUCUACCUCCCCAGCUCUGAGAUUAUAAACCCACACCAGGAUGUUAGAUCCUCUUUCUUUCAGAACACACUUUACUGACUAAGCUAACUUCUUAGCUCCCUGUGUGGUUUUGUUUUUGUUUUUGAGACUUAGGAGCUUGGUGUUCUCUAAAGGAGAAAAUGCCAGUUUCCCCUUUCUCUUAGUUGAGUUUAGGUUAAUGAUUUAAGAUGCAUGUCACUGUAAUUAGCUUGUUUAGUUGUUUCUUUGAAGACAUCAGUGGUUACCAGUAAGUAGGUGACUGCUAUAGUACUCCUGGACAGUAGGGAGUGCUUUCGUCCAGAGGGUAUACAUUCUGAUUCAUGGUGAGGAAAUGUUUAUUCAUCUUAGUGUGUAUAUAUGUGUGUGUGUGUGUGUGUGUUAUAUGUGUGCUGGUGCACUUCUCUCUCUCUUUCUGUGUGUGUGUGUGUGAGUAUGAGUGUGAGUGUGAGAGAGACCCAGCUUUAUGUGGCUGUUGAGAAUCUGAACUCAGGUCUUUGUGCUUUUAUAGCAAUCAUUGUACUGAACCAUCUCUGAAACACUUUACUUGGUGCCUUGGAAUUGUUUAAAUUUAACAGAAGGCGAUACAAAGUGUUGAUUUUUCUCCUUAUACAAAUUACAUAAAUGCAUAUAAUCCCAGUGAUGUAAAUAUUUGUCAAGAAAUGUAAAAUGUGGACAGGAGUGACGUGUUGCCUAGUCAUAACCAAGCUUCUUGCGUUGGUGGAGACAGAACGAAUUGCAUAGACUUUGAGAAUUGAGCCUGCCAGAAACAAGACAGUUGGCCUCUGAUGGAGAAGCUGGCCUCUGAUGGAGAAGCUGGCCUCUGAUGGAGAAGCUGGCCUCUGAUGGAGAAGCUUCUUACUGCCUGUGGCUGACUUUCUUCUUCCUUGACCCCUCCCCUGAACCCGAAACUCCUCACAUUGAUCUCUAUGACCUUGCAUGUAGAAAUACUAGCUACCAGUGAAAAAGCCCAAGAGACACUAAUUGGAUAUUUUGACUGUCCUUGGUCUGUACACCCUGCCCUUAUGAAUCUAGUAUCUGCCACUGGCCUUUCUUUUCUACCUUCUAAAUACCUUUAAACUCCCUCUUUCAGGUAUACCUGUACCUUACUCUGUUGUCAGAUUUCCUGAACCUCUGUAAAAGCCUCUCGAUUGGUUCUCUAUAUUUACUCUUCCUUCCCUUCUCUCAUCUCGCUGCAUUCAGAGGAAUCUUCUUUUUGAUCCUCUGAUUUAAGUUCUUGAUGUUUUAUUGCCUCAGUCUGUUAAGCAACAGCAGCAGUGUCCCCUAUUCCACUUUUCCCCCUUGUGUCUCUGAUGGUUUCAAUAAGAAAGGACCCUCGUAUGCACUGUUUAGGGCGUGCAGUCUUGCUGGGGGAAAGUGUGUCACUGGGGGAAGCAUUUGAGAGCUUAAGGCUCCAUCCUACUUCAAGUUUGCUCUCAGCUUGGACUAGUGGUUAAGAUGAGAGAUGCUAGCUUCUUUUUUCCUGCCUCUGCUGCCAUGCCCUUCCAUAAUGGACUCUUAGCCCUUUGGAAAUGUAAGCCCAAAUAAACUCUUUCUUUUUU
Molecule: long non-coding RNA, 3049 nt
Filed under: Mus caroli (Ryukyu mouse)
Lineage: Eukaryota; Metazoa; Chordata; Mammalia; Rodentia; Muridae
Description: lncRNA (MGP_CAROLIEiJ_G0005133.1)
Source: RNAcentral